UGUUUGGCAGUUAAGGUCUGUAAGGAAAGGGAAGAAUGACCCCAGAGUGGAUCCUCAACUGGGCCCAGAAGGACCAUUCCAUUAUCACCUGGUUGCAUGAAAAAAAAAUCAAAAUUUCCUGGACUACUUUUAAGUCAACUACAGAGCUCUGUUUUGUUGUUCCUGGUGUUACUCUGCACAUCUACCCACUUUGUACCUGAGAUAAGAACAGCAACUCAAUUCACCUGUUUGGGAAUGCACAAAUUCUGGAGACCAAUUUGCCCUCUGGUAGUGGACUCAAAGCACCAACAGAGGUGGCUGGAUGGUGAAACCAACGGAUUGGAAGGCCUACCAUUGUUUACUUGGAUAUCAGCCUGGGGUACCUGGAACAGAAAGGAAGGAAAAAAUUACACUGUUUAAGAGCACUGAGAGUCCAUGAGGUGUUAGACUCGUCAUGUGAGACCACAAUUGUUCAAUUGUUGCCUUGUGCACUUGGCAAAGGCAAAAUGUGUAGAUGUGUUUGAUUUGUCAGUAAACCGCUAUGUGGUGGUUGUUCCCUUUAAGAAAUGAGCGCCAUGGGAGAAGUCAUGUGACCUGCUAGUCCAGUUGGGGAUGGAGUCUGCAUGAGGUGUGUGUGAAUUCACCCAGCAGUUGGAUUGAGGAGCUAGGCAUGAAAUGACCAUGCAAUGUACUCUGUAAAUAAGUUGUAAUAAAUUGUUGUGUUAUGAUAAUCAA
Molecule: long non-coding RNA, 714 nt
Organism: Rhincodon typus (whale shark)
Lineage: Eukaryota; Metazoa; Chordata; Chondrichthyes; Orectolobiformes; Rhincodontidae
Exons: 2
Source: RefSeq, a predicted model, not a curated record